GCACGCCAUCGCUCUUGUCUCAGGCAGCGUCUAUGGAGCAGUCGCCUUCGCUUACAGAGAAGUCAUCACCCUGACACAGUGGUGUCAAGAAAACAACCUCUCCCUCGAUGUUGCAAAAACAAAGGAGCUGGUCGUGGACUACAGAAGGAACGGAGACAGUCUAGCCCCUAUUGACGUCAAUGGAUCUGGGGCUGAAAGGGACUAAGGCUGUGAGAUUGCUCCCACCGUUAAAUGCUUCUUCUCUGCAAGCUUCUUGGUGAUUAGCCCUGCUAUAUGAAGAACUGAGAUCAAGGAUUUGGGCCGACUCUGGUUGCUCCGAGGAUUCGGGGUCUAUACACUUUGGCCGGGAAUGGUGUUGCUUGCUUCUAUUGUUUGUAUGAUGUAUUUUUUCUCCUCUUGCUCCGCAGAUUUGGGUGUUGAUCUUAAUUUUUUUUAAAUUGGGAUCUUUUGGGCAUCUAGCUUUGUGGCUGCCUGUAAGCAGACAAAUCUCAAGGUUGUAUAAUUUAUAAAUACUUUGAUAAUAAAUGUAUUCUGAAUCUUUGA
Long non-coding RNA from Hypanus sabinus (Atlantic stingray), 543 nucleotides. RefSeq lists it as uncharacterized. NCBI's taxonomy places the organism in Eukaryota, Metazoa, Chordata, Chondrichthyes, Myliobatiformes, Dasyatidae. The record is from RefSeq and is a predicted model, not a curated record. The transcript is spliced from 3 exons.